CCUCUCAUGGCGUAGUGGUAACGCGCCCCAACUAGAGAUUGAGGAGUCGUGAGUUCGAUUCUCACUGAGAAGA
RNAcentral lists this transfer RNA (73 nucleotides) under Aedes aegypti (yellow fever mosquito). It matches the Rfam family "tRNA". Rfam says of the family: Transfer RNA (tRNA) molecules are approximately 80 nucleotides in length. The record is from Rfam by way of RNAcentral. Lineage: Eukaryota; Metazoa; Arthropoda; Insecta; Diptera; Culicidae.